RNAcentral lists this ribosomal RNA (582 nucleotides) under uncultured fungus. Its description in RNAcentral is "eukaryotic LSU rRNA". The stretch from base 198 to 351 matches the Rfam family "5.8S ribosomal RNA". Lineage: Eukaryota; Fungi. The record is from RNAcentral.
AAGUCGUAACAAGGUCUCCGUUGGUGAACCAGCGGAGGGAUCAUUAAUGAGUUUCUAAAACUCCCAACCCAUGUGAACAUACGUGAAUUGCCUUGCCGGCGUACCCGGUAGCUACCCUGUAGUUACCAGGUAGUUCGCCGAAGGACAUCAAAACUCUGUUUUAAGUCUUAUUUGUGACCAACUUUUAAAUAAGUCAAAACUUUCAACAACGGAUCUCUUGGUUCUGGCAUCGAUGAAGAACGCAGCGAAAUGCGAUAAGUAAUGUGAAUUGCAGAAUUCAGUGAUUCAUGGAAUCUUUGAACGCACAUUGGGCCCUUUAGUAUUUUAGUGGGCACGCCUGUUCGAGCGCCAUUAAUUCCACUUAAGCCUCUUUGCUUAGUGUUGGGAAUCUACUUGAGCGGUGCUACCCGGGACUUACCCGGUAGCUACCCUGUAGUUCCUCAAAGACAGCGGCGGAGAUGUAGUAUCCUCUGAGGUUAGUAACUUGUUCCUAGCUUUUGAGUGGACGGGGCUUCUGACGGAAAAACACCAUACUUUUUAAUGGUUGACCUCGGAUCAGGUAGGAAUACCCGUUGAACUUAA